This 222-nucleotide non-coding RNA is filed under the name Phocaeicola coprocola. Lineage: Bacteria; Pseudomonadati; Bacteroidota; Bacteroidia; Bacteroidales; Bacteroidaceae. The record is from RNAcentral.
AUAUAUUUGUCACAGUUUUGUUCCGUCGGGCUUCCGAUUGGUAUAUGCGAGGCCACGGAUGAAAAGGGAAUCGGGUGAAAGUCCCGGACAGUCCCGCUGCUGUAAGCUCCUUUGUAAAGGUUUGUUUACUACUUCAGGCCACUGCUUUCUUCUGUUUGAGAAAGUGGGAAGGCAUAACAAACCGGAGUAAGUCAGAAGACCUGCAAAACGAAAUCAUGCUUG